RNAcentral lists this ribosomal RNA (1238 nucleotides) under Arthrobacter sp. D6-2. RNAcentral describes it as "bacterial SSU rRNA". It matches the Rfam family "Bacterial small subunit ribosomal RNA", at positions 102 to 1352 of the family's 1533-position model. Lineage: Bacteria; Bacillati; Actinomycetota; Actinomycetes; Micrococcales; Micrococcaceae. The record is from RNAcentral.
ACGGGUGAGUAACACGUGAGUAACCUGCCCUUGACUCUGGGAUAAGCCUGGGAAACUGGGUCUAAUACCGGAUACGACCAUUCCACGCAUGUGGUGGUGGUGGAAAGCUUUUGUGGUUUUGGAUGGACUCGCGGCCUAUCAGCUUGUUGGUGGGGUAAUGGCCUACCAAGGCGACGACGGGUAGCCGGCCUGAGAGGGUGACCGGCCACACUGGGACUGAGACACGGCCCAGACUCCUACGGGAGGCAGCAGUGGGGAAUAUUGCACAAUGGGCGCAAGCCUGAUGCAGCGACGCCGCGUGAGGGAUGACGGCCUUCGGGUUGUAAACCUCUUUCAGUAGGGAAGAAGCGUAAGUGACGGUACCUGCAGAAGAAGCGCCGGCUAACUACGUGCCAGCAGCCGCGGUAAUACGUAGGGCGCAAGCGUUAUCCGGAAUUAUUGGGCGUAAAGAGCUCGUAGGCGGUUUGUCGCGUCUGCUGUGAAAGACCGGGGCUCAACUCCGGUUCUGCAGUGGGUACGGGCAGACUAGAGUGCAGUAGGGGAGACUGGAAUUCCUGGUGUAGCGGUGAAAUGCGCAGAUAUCAGGAGGAACACCGAUGGCGAAGGCAGGUCUCUGGGCUGUAACUGACGCUGAGGAGCGAAAGCAUGGGGAGCGAACAGGAUUAGAUACCCUGGUAGUCCAUGCCGUAAACGUUGGGCACUAGGUGUGGGGGACAUUCCACGUUUUCCGCGCCGUAGCUAACGCAUUAAGUGCCCCGCCUGGGGAGUACGGCCGCAAGGCUAAAACUCAAAGGAAUUGACGGGGGCCCGCACAAGCGGCGGAGCAUGCGGAUUAAUUCGAUGCAACGCGAAGAACCUUACCAAGGCUUGACAUGAACCGGAAAGACCUGGAAACAGGUGCCCCGCUUGCGGUCGGUUUACAGGUGGUGCAUGGUUGUCGUCAGCUCGUGUCGUGAGAUGUUGGGUUAAGUCCCGCAACGAGCGCAACCCUCGUUCUAUGUUGCCAGCGCGUGAUGGCGGGGACUCAUAGGAGACUGCCGGGGUCAACUCGGAGGAAGGUGGGGACGACGUCAAAUCAUCAUGCCCCUUAUGUCUUGGGCUUCACGCAUGCUACAAUGGCCGGUACAAAGGGUUGCGAUACUGUGAGGUGGAGCUAAUCCCAAAAAGCCGGUCUCAGUUCGGAUUGGGGUCUGCAACUCGACCCCAUGAAGUCGGAGUCGCUAGUAAUCGCAGAUCAG